Molecule: ribosomal RNA, 241 nt
Filed under: uncultured bacterium
Lineage: Bacteria
Description: partial 16S ribosomal RNA
Rfam family: Bacterial small subunit ribosomal RNA
Source: RNAcentral
CGAGUGGCGGACGGGUGAGUAAUGUCUGGGAAACUGCCUGAUGGAGGGGGAUAACUACUGGAAACGGCUGCUAAUACCGCAUAAGCGCACAGUACCGCAUGGUACGGUGUGAAAAACUCCGGUGGUAUGAGAUGGACCCGCGUCUGAUUAGGUAGUUGGUGGGGUAACGGCCUACCAAGCCGACGAUCAGUAGCCGACCUGAGAGGGUGACCGGCCACAUUGGGACUGAGACACGGCCCAA